RNAcentral lists this small nuclear RNA (18 nucleotides) under Arabidopsis thaliana (thale cress). RNAcentral describes it as "snRNA_16210". Lineage: Eukaryota; Viridiplantae; Streptophyta; Magnoliopsida; Brassicales; Brassicaceae. The record is from RNAcentral.
AAAAAAAAAAAAUCAUAU